GUGGGGAAUAUUGGACAAUGGGCGCAAGCCUGAUCCAGCCAUGCCGCGUGAGUGAUGAAGGCCUUAGGGUUGUAAAGCUCUUUCAGCUGGGAAGAUAAUGACGGUACCAGCAGAAGAAGCCCCGGCUAACUUCGUGCCAGCAGCCGCGGUAAUACGAAGGGGGCUAGCGUUGUUCGGAAUCACUGGGCGUAAAGCGCACGUAGGCGGAUCAAUAAGUCAGGGGUGAAAUCCCGAGGCUCAACCUCGGAACUGCCUUUGAUACUGUUGACCUUGAGUCCGGGAGAGGUGAGUGGAACUCCGAGUGUAGAGGUGAAAUUCGUAGAUAUUCGGAAGAACACCAGUGGCGAAGGCGGCUCACUGGCCCGGUACUGACGCUGAGGUGCGAAAGCGUGGGGAGCAAACAGGAUUAGAAACCCCUGUAGUCC
RNAcentral lists this ribosomal RNA (425 nucleotides) under uncultured bacterium. RNAcentral describes it as "bacterial SSU rRNA". It matches the Rfam family "Bacterial small subunit ribosomal RNA", at positions 354 to 796 of the family's 1533-position model. The record is from RNAcentral.